Folsomia candida is the source of this 622-nucleotide long non-coding RNA. RefSeq lists it as uncharacterized. NCBI's taxonomy places the organism in Eukaryota, Metazoa, Arthropoda, Collembola, Entomobryomorpha, Isotomidae. The record is from RefSeq and is a predicted model, not a curated record. The transcript has 2 exons.
CUGGAUGGACUAUCUUAUUUUACUUCCUGUGAGAAAUGCAUACCAAAUUGUUUUAAAAAUUCGAUACACUGCAUACAUAUGCAAAAUUUGACGACCACACUCGAAUAGAAACCUGAGAGAUAAACACUUGAAUCAUACCUAUCUGUAAAUACAGCUUUGUCGAUGCAUUCUUAAUAAACUUUGUAUUUACGAGAAAAAUUUUGUGAUAAUUUUUAAUGCCAAAUCUAGUCCGCAUGCCAAAGUAAGGAAGUCUUGGUUUCCAAGUUUUUAUAAAUUUCCAAGUGCUCUGAGGAUAAGAAUAAAUUUCAUAGUCCAGACGAUAAUUUUUCAGGUACGUUUUUCCGACUUUUCUCAACAUAGGAUGAAACAACUGAAAUCUUUACAAUUGGGAAAGUUGCCGUUACGAGAUUAACAUUAGCAGGGUAGAAAUGAAGACCCAUCUCAGAAAUCAGUUUCCAAAUUUGCAGCAUUUUCGACAAGCAGAAGCAUCGUGGGGACAUCCGCAGCAGAAAUUUUGGCUUCAUGUUCAGAUUAUUAUUAAACUAAAUAAAAAAAUCCCUAAAUAAAACAAAAUAAUAAAAUACAAAUUUUUCAUGAAAUAAAAUGCCUUGUAAAAAACUGA